Non-coding RNA from Taeniopygia guttata (zebra finch), 2847 nucleotides. Lineage: Eukaryota; Metazoa; Chordata; Aves; Passeriformes; Estrildidae. The record is from RefSeq and is a predicted model, not a curated record.
UUGAGUGACAGACUGCACUUAGUCCAAGUCCAGUUUAUCUGGUGCCAAUAGAACAGAAAAAUGGAAUUCUUUACUCUUCAGUAGUUGUUCAUCUAACGGGGAGUGUUAAGGUUAUCAUAGCAGAACUUGCCAGUUUUGGGAGAAUGAGGGAAAUAAACAGCUCCAGAUCAAUUCCAAAUAGGGAACAGGAACAGGGGAGGAGGGUGUUCAGGGGGUUCCUAAGCUGCCUCUGUUUGUCCCCUGUUGCAGCAAUGAGAGCAGAAUCAGCAGCACCCACUUCUUUGCUUUUCAGGGCAGCGGCUCUUUGUGCUACUGCUUUGAUGCUCUUAGGCAAACUUAGAGGGUGACAGCCUAGCCUUGCUCCCCUCCUCUGCUGUAACUGCUUUCUGAGCUGGGGUUUGUGUGCAGCACCAGGGGGGCUCACCAAAUCUAAUUGUAUCUUCUUUUCUCUCCCUUCCCAUGUGCAUCGAUGGAAGCUUCUUGAAGUGCAUGGACAGGAAAGGAGAAAUGUUACAUCAAACAGCCAGGAACAGGUGGAUGGCUCUGGUAAUGGAACAGGAGCUAAUGAUGCCCCUGUGGCUGACUCAGCCCCUGCAGAAGAGGGAGCAGAGGAGGAGGACACUCAAAAUCCAGAGUAUGUAUGCCUCAUGCCCCACCACACACAGAAUUCUGUGCCUUUCUUUCUUUUCUGUGUAGGACAUAGUAAUAGUGCUAUGCCUGAUUUAUCUUUGACGCCUUCCCUACUCUACUCAUUUCCCUCCUUCUCCCAUGUUGCAGGAUGAUCACAUGAUACCAUUUGAAUUUUGGGAGAAAAAAGCAGCCCAAAGCAGAUGUGCAUCUUUGCACAGAGCCUUAGAGACGAGUGUGGGAGUAUGGCAAGGAAUGGGGAUUGGUCACAGGCCAUAGCUCAGUAUUGCAUUUGCUUUUUCUGACAAGCUGUAGUAGUGAUGUUAGAUAUGGAAAUGCUUCCAUUGUAAUUACUGGGGCUUGGCAUCAUGGGGCCAGCAGGCAGCAGCUGGGCAAAUUCCAACAAAAAUUCCCUGCUGGAAUGGUGCCAGCUGGUUGCCUUUCUCCUGGAGCUGGAGCCCUUCUUCCCAAGGUAGACUUGCACACAGGCAGUUGUGGAGGUCAUGCUUUUAUGGCCAGUGCUGGAUGUCACAGGCCCUGAUUUGCUUGCUUCUGUGAUGGAAAUCUUGCAGUUCAAGUUGGGUGCCUGCACAGUAAAAUUCCCAUUCUGCAGAGGAACAGGAAAGUCCUGCUGUAGGGACACUCCAUCAGGAUAAGAAAGAUACAGUUCAUUAGACUGAUUCAAUUUAACCAAGUGUCCUUGACACUAGGGAAGACAAAGAACAUUGGAAUUAUGGUAUAAGGUUUUCAAAGUGGUGUUUUUGGGGUUGGGGGAAAGACACAGGUUUUAAUAAAGCUGGUGUGCUUUGAGCCUUUUGGAAAGGCAAUGUAGGAGACAACUUGAGUGUGAAACUUUUAGGUGUCAGGCCUUAAAUAUGCCACCUAAAGGGCUUCUACGAUUCUAAACCUUAAUUGGGCAUUUUGCCAAUGAAUUUGUAGAUGCUUCAGUUUUGGUUGCUAAGUCUGUAGGUGAACAAAUCCCAGCCCCUGGGUAAUAUAAAACAGGAAUACUUUGUUCCUCCAGUCUCAAGCUUUUCGGUUACUGAAUGUAACUGCUCUGUUUAGUUAAGGCUGAAAUAGCUCAGUGCUGCAGCAUUUAAAAUUGACCAAAGGCUCCUUCCCAGGGCUGGACCUUGCCAGAGCUGUAUUACUCUGUAGUUUAAAACUGGGUCCUGGAAUGAAUAUUCUGGGGUGAAUAAUUCCCAGAGGACAGCUGAUGCUGUAGUUACAAAGCUCUUACUGAUGACCUGCUGGAAGUCAAGGUUGCCAUACACAAACUGGCCAGUGCUAGAGGCUGCUGCUACUUCAAAGCCCAGAGCAGGGUGACUGACUGCACCUUUCUCCUAGUGAAAACUAGGACACCCUUUCCCUCAGGGCAGGGAGACCCCAAAUCCUCAUUAAAUGCAGCAAACAGAGACUUAAAGACAGCAGGGUUCUUCAAAGGAAAUGUGUCAUGGCUAGUCAGUGCAGUUGUAUGAAUAUGUGAGAUUUUAUGUAUCAAUAACCACUGAAGUGUGGUUAUAUUAACAGCUGCAUGUUCUUUCUAGUCCUCUUUCCUCCAGUGCACAGCAAGGAGUUGUUAUUAGGUGUCCAAUUUGCAUGGAAUUUUACUCAGAGGUAAGGAUCCACCUGUUGUUGUCCUGUCUGCUUUGUGGGAGGAGAAAGCCAGAAGGGGGGAGCUGCACAAGUCAGUUGGAUGAUGUGGGAUGCUGUGGGCAGCUGGCUGGAAGCACAGCCCUUGCUGUGAAGCUCCACAAGUCACUUCUUGGUGAAUGCAGAGGCAGAAGCCCUUGCCAAGAUGGCACUGGCAGAUCUGUGGGUCCCUCGUAAUUCUAAUUCUAGAUGCUCAAAAUAGAGCCUGGUGCCAGUUGAGCAGCAAAAUCAAAUUCUCUCCUCCCAAUAAAUGUUGUGGUUUUCUUUCUUCCAGUUUAUUCAAUGUGGACAACAGCUUGUGGCAACCCUGUGUGGCCAUGUCUUCUGCAGCGAGUGCCUCCCUGUUGCCCUGGAGAUUCUCGGCAGGUGCCCAACCUGCAGAAUGGACCUCACUCCAGACCUAUACCAUCCCAUUUAUAUAUGAGGAGUUCUCUUCUCAGGACAGACUGAGAUGGAUCUUGGCCAAUAGGCAGCGCAGAGACUUGUUUCUUUAUGUAUAUAGUUCUUCCUGUAUAUAGUUUCACUUUUGAUAAAUUCAAUUAUAAAAAAAGUUUUCAUUGAUUUAAA